AAAGAGAAGUCGCCCCGGGGCCCCAAAAAGGCCCCUGGGGUAACAAAUCUCCACCCCUUGCUUGUUAUACCAAACUGUUGCUUUCGCGGGACAGCUGGAGGCUCUCGUGGCCUCCCCGCCGGCUUUUAAUCUUUUCCCCCCAGGGGGAGAGGUUGGGCUGGUGCCGCCCGCGAACGGCCAAAAUUAUAAAACCUUGAAGUAAACAUUGAAGUCUGAUUUUUAUACUAUGAAAAUAGCCUA
RNAcentral lists this unclassified non-coding RNA (240 nucleotides) under uncultured Ascomycota. RNAcentral's name for it is "sequence contains ITS1". The record is from RNAcentral. Lineage: Eukaryota; Fungi; Ascomycota.